AAUCAUUCAAUCACCACAGACAAGUCAACAGACACUUCGGCACCAUUUCUCAGCCGGCGUCUGUGUUACGUUCGUGGAAGAUGAAACGCUCAGCCUCGCCUGCGUUUGGUGAUUGUUUCCGUUCUGGCGAUGGUCACCAGACGUUGGGGUUGAUGCACGUGCUCCGCUUUUUAAUAGAGAUAAUUGUAUUCAAUAGUUUUUUCAACAGUGGGCACAAACAAUAAAU
This is a small nucleolar RNA of Drosophila melanogaster (fruit fly), 226 nucleotides long. Lineage: Eukaryota; Metazoa; Arthropoda; Insecta; Diptera; Drosophilidae. The record is from Ensembl.